GGAAACGGUGGCUAAUACCGGAUGAGCAGAGAUGUAAAAGAUUAAUUGCCUGAAGAUGAGCUCGCGUCUGAUUAGCUAGUUGGUGGGGUAAGAGCCUACCAAGGCGACGAUCAGUAGCUGGUCUGAGAGGAUGAUCAGCCACACUGGGACUGAGACACGGCCCAGACUCCUACGGGAGGCAGCAGUGGGGAAUUUUCCGCAAUGGGCGAAAGCCUGACGGAGCAAUACCGCGUGAGGGAGGAAGGCUCUUGGGUCGUAAACCUCUUUUCUCAGGGAAGAAAAAAAUGACGGUACCUGAGGAAUAAGCAUCGGCUAACUCCGUGCCAGCAGCCGCGGUAAUACGGAGGAUGCAAGCGUUAUCCGGAAUGAUUGGGCGUAAAGCGUCCGCAGGUGGCUGUGUAAGUCUGCUGUUAAAGAAUGAGGCUCAACCUCAUCAAAGCAGUGGAAACUACACGGCUAGAGUGCGUUCGGGGCACAGGGAAUUCCUGGUGUAGCGGUGAAAUGCGUAGAGAUCAGGAAGAACACCGGUGGCGAAAGCGCUCUGCUAGCCGCAACUGACACUGAGGGACGAAAGCUAGGGGAGCGAAUGGGAUUAGAUACCCC
Molecule: ribosomal RNA, 603 nt
Filed under: Gloeotrichia echinulata
Lineage: Bacteria; Bacillati; Cyanobacteriota; Cyanophyceae; Nostocales; Gloeotrichiaceae
Description: bacterial SSU rRNA
Rfam family: Bacterial small subunit ribosomal RNA
Source: RNAcentral